UCUUUUUAGAAUAUAAAACAGUAUUCGUUUCUAAGAUCGACCAAUAGAAGAACGUUUAUUUUCAUACCUAUUUUUUGAUUGGUGCGUUUUGAAUGCAGAUGUUACGAACAAAAAGAGAAAGAAAGAGUAUCGUAUUAUGCCUAACGUAACGACAUCAGUUGCUUGACGGUUGCAAAGUGAACUACAUAUGAAAGUUACGAAAGAGUCGGAUAUCAAAUUGUUAAAGGCACUAUUAAAACAUGUUUAUAAUUUGGCAUCUUAUUGAUUAAAACUGUGGUACGUUCGUUUAUGUUAUCGACGGAGCAUCUAACUUGCAACGUUCAGCGCCAUAUUUACAGAAGAAAGACGAACUAUCAUCAUAGGUUUUAUUAUAUUACGAGGGCGUUAAAGAGGCAAAGCCAUCCAUCCAUCAUUCCUCGUCAACGAUGCAUCAUACUCUUCAAACAUAAAUCUGCUUGAAGUAAGGCAAUCGUCGAUAGGAAGAAUUCAAAUAUCGUCGCACGUCGGUUGUCAUCUUUCGAAAUCGUUCGUUCGAGGUACAUUUUUCCCACAAUCUUUUUGCAAGAACAUCGAUGUAGAUAUACACGUAGAUGAAAAAUGUGGAUAUUUAUAAAGGUAAUAUAAAGGUCGCUGUCAUAAAGUUUGAAAAACGUUAUCUUCUAAAGAAUGUUCCAAAUUUGUUGGAAACGACCUACUUUGUUCCUCGAUGGAUUUGGUGAAAAUUAAAUUUGAAAGGGAACUAGGUUGUCAGGGAAAGAAUAUGUAAAAAGGGCAAGUCCAUUUGUUCAUUGUUAAACCAUUAAAAUCUAUUAUCAAAAUUUAAGUUUUUCUCACUGAAACGAUACGUGAUUCUCAAUUUUGUGUGUGAUUGAUCCACUUCAAUUUUACUAUUUGCAGGAUCUCGAUAAUAUCGUAUUAAUUUGGAAAAGUACGUUCGUUUUCUGUAGAACUGUCGAGUGGAAGCUUUUCGCGUAUUACCUUUUGAAUCCGAUACGAAUUCACGACCUGGAUCUCAGAUGUAACAGGUGUAUGUACAUAUCGUAAAUACAAUAAUAUCGCGACAUGAAAAACGUAAAAAUAUCGAACUUAAUAGGCCAGGAGAUAUGAAUAAUCUUUCUGUACAGUAUCUACUGUUUGCUUUUUCUAUCUAUUUUAAUAUCUACGUUUCUUCAAAUGUUUUACUGAGAAUAUCACGAGAACGAUUGUCACUUGUAAUCGUGGAAAAUAUUGGAUCUCUAAAUGAGACGCAACAAAUAUUCUGCGAAUUCUCAAACGAUUACAAAAUGAACAAAUAAUUCUUCGUCAUUCCUCAUCGUUCUUUUAUUUUAUUCAUUUA
Vespula pensylvanica (western yellowjacket) is the source of this 1336-nucleotide long non-coding RNA. RefSeq lists it as uncharacterized. Lineage: Eukaryota; Metazoa; Arthropoda; Insecta; Hymenoptera; Vespidae. The record is from RefSeq and is a predicted model, not a curated record. The transcript has 6 exons.